GACGAACGCUGGCGGCGCGCCUAACACAUGCAAGUCGAACGGAGUCAAGAGGAGCUUGCUUUUCUUGACUUAGUGGCGAACGGGUGAGUAACGCGUGAGUAACCUGCCCUGGAGUGGGGGACAACAGUUGGAAACGACUGCUAUUACCGCAUAAGCCCACGGAUCUGCAUGGAUCUGCGGGAAAAGGAUUUAUUCGCUCUAGGAUGGACUCGCGUCCAAUUAGCUAGUUGGUGAGGUAACGGCCCACCAAGGCGACGAUUGGUAGCCGGACUGAGAGGUUGAACGGCCACAUUGGGACUGAGACACGGCCCAGACUCCUACGGGAGGCAGCAGUGGGGGAUAUUGCACAAUGGGGGAAACCCUGAUGCAGCGACGCCGCGUGGAGGAAGAAGGUUUUCGGAUUGUAAACUCCUGUCGUUAGGGACGAUAAUGACGGUACCUAACAAGAAAGCACCAGCUAACUACGUG
Molecule: ribosomal RNA, 468 nt
Filed under: uncultured bacterium
Lineage: Bacteria
Description: partial 16S ribosomal RNA
Rfam family: Bacterial small subunit ribosomal RNA
Source: RNAcentral